Molecule: non-coding RNA, 861 nt
Filed under: Pan troglodytes (chimpanzee)
Lineage: Eukaryota; Metazoa; Chordata; Mammalia; Primates; Hominidae
Source: RNAcentral
GGGGGAGAAUGGGCAUCCCACCCCAGCACUUUCUAGGAAGGAGGGCAGCAUUUUGAAGGGCUGGAAGUAGAGGAAGGAGGUUGCGGGUAGAAGACUCCAUACUUUCUGUGAUGCCUAUUCCUUAGCUUGAGAUGAAUGUUUUCUCAGUAUCCUAUGCUGAAAACAGGUAGAUACUAAUAUCGAUCUUCAAGGGAGGGCUGUUGAGUUUUGAAUAAGACAAAAACAUGGAAGCAAUCAGCACCAUGCUGGAGAGCCUUUAUAUAACCAAAGAUAUUUUUGGACCAUGAAUUCGGAAAUUCUCGGAGCCACCCAUCAGUGCCUGAGCUUCAGUGAGUCCAUAUCCCAUGUCACCCACGGCAAAGGAGAAUCUAAGACUUCUGAAGAGUUUCUUGCUUCUUUCCUGUGGGGCAGUGACUCCACUUCCCAGCAGUAAUGGAAUAUCCUGAAUUAGCUACAUUAAUGUUAGAACCAUUUGGACCUCACCCAGGACUUCAACUACAUUAUGCUAAAGUUACAGAACCCAAAUUUGGCAACUGUCUGCAUCUGAACAACAGAAGUUUCAACAUUCUGCCAACAGAGUAACUCCUGGACGAUUGGCACAGAAGGCACAAGGCCCUCCAAACACCAGCACUGAGUAGAAAGAGGCUCUGAUUCAUGAAAUGUGAAUUUAUGACAGUUGCCACUCUUAAAAAAAAAACAAACAGACAGAACUUGAGCAAUACAUGACUGAUGCAUUCUCAGCCUGCUUCCUGUGUUCCAUCUGUCUUUCUGCCAGUGCAUUCACCCUCCAGGUUCUAGUAUGUUAGGUUUAUGUUCCCCUGCUUUCUACAAUCCUGUUCAAAGAGUUGCUGACUUAACCAC